AGCAGUUUGGUUUGUGUGACAUGGGAGAGGGCACAUCUCCCAUGGAAAGAAAACAGAAGGAGAAAAAAAAACAUACAAUUUUAAUGUAGAAGUGAAUAAGAAAUGGCUAAGAAUUGUGUCUGGUUGCUACCAAUAACCCUGAGAAUAUUAUUUAGCAACAAACUGCUAAUGACCACUUCUAGUUUUGAUCUAAAGCUAACGGUAGGCAAAGCAAAAACGUUAAAUUCCUGCAGCAGACAGAAGGCUGAUAGAUUUUGGUUAAUUAAAUACAAUUCUGCUGAUAUUUUUCCCUUAAUGAAUCCAAACCUGUUAAGAGUACUUCUCACUUAAUUGCAGUGGACAGGCCGGCAAGCUUUUAGUCCAGACCUGAUCGUCCUGUCCAAACGGUGGAAGGGUGGGCAACCUUCCUCCUGCUUCUCCUCCUGCAGAUCUGGGCCUUACCAGCCUUCAAUAAGAGGAUGGAGGUAUCCAGACAGGAUUUGUCACAUGAACGUUCCCACUACCUCAGCAGAGGAAGGAGGCAUCCAUCAGUGCCCUCGCUGAAGAGCAGGGCAGCCGUGAUCCAUCCCUGUGUGGUUCUGCAGCCUACACACCUGUACUACAUGGGACCCGUUUUUUCCUCUCCACAGGCAGGCAACAUGGGGGAGAAAACACAGAACAAAGAAGGGUACGGCACAGUAGGCUUCCUCACAUUUGACAGUUUUUCUCCUCCUCCCAUCUUUUUUGAUUUUCUAAGAAUGAGGAGGAAGAUGUUUUUCAAGCUUUUAAAGAUGUAUAGCUCAUAACGCCUGAAAAAAUAUACAGACACACAUAUAUAUACACCACUUUUUAAUCUGAUCAGAUGCUGCAAGCAGCAGGAUGCAAAAAUAGGUAACAAAAACAACAACAAAGCCCCUGCAGUUCUGAAAUGUGCGUUAUCUCCUCCUUUCCUACUCCUCCAACCUUAAGCGUAUAGUUUUACACCUAAUAAAACCACUCGAAUAAUAAGGCAUUAAUUUCAAACAUGUACACAAUCAUGCUGGCCUGCAUCUGAUGCUCCAAACCCAGUGCCUCUGGAAAAUGGUUCCAGUGGAACAAUAUGGACAAACACUUUGGCCGGUGGUUCACAUCCCCCACGACCACCCCAGAUACCCUGAACUUUGGCCAGCCAUCUCCCUCUGCUAAUCCUCAAGUUGCUUAGGAAGAUUUACCUGUAUUAUCAAAAAUUCCGACUGUAGUCUGGGGCUUGGACCCUAUAGCCUGUAAGCUCCAAAUAAUGACAAAACAGCGACGCUAGUGUACUUCAUGCAUCUUAGAUUGGAUGUUCAAAUGUAAGGAUAAUUUCUUUUCCUCAAAUCUGAGCUCACAGGCAGACAUGAGCAGCGACUGCUAGAUAUGGGGACAAAGCAGGAUGCAGUAGCCAAAACACACAGGUGCCCACAACGCCCUGUUGCUGCCCCUCCGUCCCCAGAAUAGCCGGGUGCUGCACCAUAGCAAUGCGCCUCUGUUUCCCAUACCAGUGAGCAAUCCCAGUGUCCACAGUGAACAAGGUAAACCACUGUGGAUGUGUGGUGGCCACCCUUGAAACUGUUUCUCCAUAAGCAUUAUCCUGUCCCAUAACACAAAUUAUUCACCCUAAUCAUCGCAGCUAGGAGAAAAGAAAGUGUAAGUAAAUGCAUAAGUGAUGUAAUGCAGCACGGCAUUUUUGAAGGUUGCCACUGCUCCAGAGUGAGAAUUGGAGCAAAUGACCAAACAGGUAAAUAUGAAGUACAGGCAGAAAAAAUGCAGGAAGGCAACUGCAAGCAGACUUGUAUGCCUCAGCUUUAAUAACGCUAGCAAAUCUGUAACCAGAAAUCUUUUAAUUCUGCUGUAUUUGAUAGAUUACAAAUCCUCUCCUAAAAACUCCUGAAAGCAGCUUACAGUUCAGACAAAUAACUAUUUUGCAGCGGAUGACAAGAGACCUAAGAACGGAAACGAUGGAAUAAUAGCUCUGUAAGUAACAGAUUUCUUGAAUGCAAGAGACAGAAACGAAGAAACCCGUACAGUUCAAUGAGCAGUUUACAGCUGGAAAUCCUAUGAGACCCGAUUAGGUUAACUGUGAAUUUCUUUUAAAGGCAACAAGAAGAAAAUCUUCAGGAACAAAGUGUCUCAGGAAAUAAGACACGCCUCCCACUCCUGAUGACUUUUUUUUUUUAAAUGAACUGAUGUCUUCUCUGUGCUCCAAGAUGAGACAAAGAACUCAACUAAAACCAAAAAAUGUAGAAGCACUGCAAAUAAUACCCCCCAAAAUGGUUGCCUUGCUCAGAGCAGUGGCACAGAGGAACAAUUUGCUCUCCCUCGGUUAUCAACAAGGCUCACCCACAGUAGGCACAAGCAGGGUGCUCACAAGCUUGUGUUUUUUUUCAUGAAGGGAGCUUGUCAGCUUUUGAUUUCAGUUUGCACCUCCGGUGCCCUAGGACCUGCUGGCCGCCUGCCCCAUGCCUCCCCAGUGCCAGCAGACCCAGCUGCCCGCUGCCGUGCGGGACGCCUGCCUGAACAGCGAGAGCAAAGUGAGCCCACCAAGACUCACUGCUCAUUUGGAAAACAAGUCACAUGCAAGCCAAGUUCAUUUUAGGGUAUUCUACAGGAGUCACCAUCCAGCACAACCGUGCAGAGCAGCCUAUGCUGGGGAGGGCAUCACCACUCUGGGGCCAAGCAGGCCCAGCUGGACAUGGUCCUCGGUCCUCUCCAGAGCAGCCCUGUUAGAGCAAGGCAGCGCACAGGACCGGAGGAGCAGCCCUGGAAGAGCAAGGCAGAGCACAGGACCGGAGGAGCAGCCCUGGAAGAGCAAGGCAGAGCAGGCAACACACAGGACUGGAGGAGCAGCCCUGGAAGAGCAAGGCAGAGCACAGGACUGGAGGAGCUCCCAGGCAGGGGCCGGCACUGUCCCUGUAAGACAGCCUCCUGCACGUACACAGCCGCUGCUCGAGCAGCAAACAAAGCUGCAGAGAGCCUGCGCACAGCAGUCCUCGGCUCAUGCCAUCGCAGCACAGGUAGCGGCUGCGGGGAAAACAACAAAACCACCACCAACCACGACAAAAAGGCAGACGACAAUCGCGAUCAGUAACGACCGAGUCAUGCACUUUGACGGGUCUGCGUGCGGCGGGACAGGAGGGAGGUGCAGCAGAAGCCCCAGAGAGGUCAAGUUCACUCCAGCACCUUCUCGCUUAAUCCCUACAGGAGAAGUUCAAGUGCACGGGUGGGUCUCUCCCCACCACCACAUGCCCCGAGAGCCCGUGCCGUGCUGCAACCGGAGGCUGCAUCUGCUCCGGCUGCCACGGGGGAGGCGGCCGGUUCGCUGCCUGUGGUUUAUAAAUAAAUGCUCUGGGGGGGUUGGGAAGGGGUGGAAAUUAGUGCCAUGCAAAGAGAAGUCUGGGUGGCGAUUAUGGUGUUAUGAUCUGCAGUAAAAGCCUCUGCGGGCGAGCGCAGAGCAGAAGGAGCGAUGAGGGCGGAUGGUUUGGAAGUGCAGUGAGGAAGGUAAAACCGGAGCGCGCUGCGCCUCCCCCAGCGGCAAGCUCGGUACCUC
RNA transcript from Cuculus canorus (common cuckoo), 3544 nucleotides. RefSeq lists it as uncharacterized. The record is from RefSeq and is a predicted model, not a curated record. Lineage: Eukaryota; Metazoa; Chordata; Aves; Cuculiformes; Cuculidae. The transcript is spliced from 2 exons.